GGGCUCAUAGUUUAAUGGAUAGAAUGACAGGCUUCGGACCUGUAGAUCGGGGUUCAAUUCCUCGUGGGCCCA
RNAcentral lists this transfer RNA (72 nucleotides) under archaeon. Its description in RNAcentral is "tRNA-Arg". It matches the Rfam family "tRNA". Rfam says of the family: Transfer RNA (tRNA) molecules are approximately 80 nucleotides in length. Their secondary structure includes four short double-helical elements and three loops (D, anti-codon, and T loops). The record is from RNAcentral. RNAcentral also lists the same sequence under 1 other name.